UACGAAGGGGACUAGCGUUGUUCGGAAUCACUGGGCGUAAAGCGCACGUAGGCGGAUGUGUCAGUCAGGGGUGAAAUCCCGGGGCUCAACCUCGGAACUGCCUUUGAUACAGCACGUCUCGAGUCCGGAAGAGGUGGGUGGAAUUCCUAGUGUAGAGGUGAAAUUCGUAGAUAUUAGGAAGAACACCGGUGCGAAGGCGGCCCACUGGUCCGGUACUGACGCUGAGGUGCGAAAGCGUGGGGAGCAAACAGG
RNAcentral lists this ribosomal RNA (252 nucleotides) under uncultured bacterium. RNAcentral's name for it is "partial 16S ribosomal RNA". It matches the Rfam family "Bacterial small subunit ribosomal RNA", at positions 524 to 776 of the family's 1533-position model. The record is from RNAcentral.